CAGGCCGGCCAAGACAGGAGG
RNAcentral lists this microRNA (21 nucleotides) under Sus scrofa (pig). RNAcentral describes it as "ssc-mir323". Lineage: Eukaryota; Metazoa; Chordata; Mammalia; Artiodactyla; Suidae. The record is from RNAcentral.